GGCCCAAAUUUAAAGUAGAGUAGAUUAGUGGUAUCAGCUGACCCUGCUCAACUACUUUACUUCAAGUUUGUGCCC
Haemonchus contortus (barber pole worm) is the source of this 75-nucleotide non-coding RNA. NCBI's taxonomy places the organism in Eukaryota, Metazoa, Nematoda, Chromadorea, Rhabditida, Trichostrongylidae. The record is from Rfam.